RNAcentral lists this ribosomal RNA (1204 nucleotides) under Escherichia coli. Its description in RNAcentral is "partial 23S ribosomal RNA". It matches the Rfam family "Bacterial large subunit ribosomal RNA", at positions 1 to 1238 of the family's 2925-position model. The record is from RNAcentral. Lineage: Bacteria; Pseudomonadati; Pseudomonadota; Gammaproteobacteria; Enterobacterales; Enterobacteriaceae.
GGGUUGUGAGGUUAAGCGACUAAGCGUACACGGUGGAUGCCCUGGCAGUCAGAGGCGAUGAAGGACGUGCUAAUCUGCGAUAAGCGUCGGUGAGGUGAUAUGAACCGUUAUAACCGGCGAUUUCCGAAUGGGGAAACCCAGUGUGUUUCGACACACUAUCAUUAACUGAAUCCAUAGGUUAAUGAGGCGAACCGGGGGAACUGAAACAUCUAAGUACCCCGAGGAAAAGAAAUCAACCGAGAUUCCCCCAGUAGCGGCGAGCGAACGGGGAGGAGCCCAGAGCCUGAAUCAGUGUGUGUGUUAGUGGAAGCGUCUGGAAAGGCGUGCGAUACAGGGUGACAGCCCCGUACACAAAAAUGCACAUAUUGUGAGCUCGAUGAGUAGGGCGGGACACGUGGUAUCCUGUCUGAAUAUGGGGGGACCAUCCUCCAAGGCUAAAUACUCCUGACUGACCGAUAGUGAACCAGUACCGUGAGGGAAAGGCGAAAAGAACCCCGGCGAGGGGAGUGAAAAAGAACCUGAAACCGUGUACGUACAAGCAGUGGGAGCCUCUUAAUGGGGUGACUGCGUACCUUUUGUAUAAUGGGUCAGCGACUUAUAUUCUGUAGCAAGGUUAACCGAAUAGGGGAGCCGAAGGGAAACCGAGUCUUAACUGGGCGUUAAGUUGCAGGGUAUAGACCCGAAACCCGGUGAUCUAGCCAUGGGCAGGUUGAAGGUUGGGUAACACUAACUGGAGGACCGAACCGACUAAUGUUGAAAAAUUAGCGGAUGACUUGUGGCUGGGGGUGAAAGGCCAAUCAAACCGGGAGAUAGCUGGUUCUCCCCGAAAGCUAUUUAGGUAGCGCCUCGUGAAUUCAUCUCCGGGGGUAGAGCACUGUUUCGGCAAGGGGGUCAUCCCGACUUACCAACCCGAUGCAAACUGCGAAUACCGGAGAAUGUUAUCACGGGAGACACACGGCGGGUGCUAACGUCCGUCGUGAAGAGGGAAACAACCCAGACCGCCAGCUAAGGUCCCAAAGUCAUGGUUAAGUGGGAAACGAUGUGGGAAGGCCCAGACAGCCAGGAUGUUGGCUUAGAAGCAGCCAUCAUUUAAAGAAAGCGUAAUAGCUCACUGGUCGAGUCGGCCUGCGCGGAAGAUGUAACGGGGCUAAACCAUGCACCGAAGCUGCGGCAGCGACACUAUGUGUUGUUGGGUAGGGGAGCG